Brassica rapa (field mustard) is the source of this 409-nucleotide long non-coding RNA. RefSeq lists it as uncharacterized. NCBI's taxonomy places the organism in Eukaryota, Viridiplantae, Streptophyta, Magnoliopsida, Brassicales, Brassicaceae. The record is from RefSeq and is a predicted model, not a curated record.
AAAAGCUUAAACUGUAAGCUUAUAUAUAUCAGUUGAAUCGGCAACUGUAAGCCAAAUUACAGCUCUUAUGAUCAUCCAAUGCAAUUGUUCAUUAGUUGCAGGUUUUGGAAGAUGAAGAAGUUGUACUUCCCAUCUCAUAAGAACAAGCGGAGGAAACUACUAAGAUGAACACUGACAAAGCUUAGGGUGAGGCAGCUGACGUCAGAGAAUCCCACUCAAGGGAGUGCCUAAAAUUCUCUGUAUUUAGUUCUUCCUUUCGAUGACGAUUUCUAGCAAGUAUCUUUUUAAUGUUCCUAGUAUAGUGGUUUUCUUCUUUAUACUUUAUAGAUGUUAACUAAAUGUAAUGCCAUUUUGCUACCUCUUUCUGAACUGUUGUUGUUACAAGCGAAUGAAAUGGAUCCUUCCUUCA